GUAGGUGGCAAGCGUUGUCCGGAAUUAUUGGGCGUAAAGCGCGCACAGGCGGUCCUUUAAGUCUGAUGUGAAAGCCCACGGCUCAACCGUGGAGGGUCAUUGGAAACUGGGGGACUUGAGUACAGAAGAGGAAAGCGGAAUUCCAAGUGUAGCGGUGAAAUGCGUAGAGAUUUGGAGGAACACCAGUGGCGAAGGCGGCUUUCUGGUCUGUAACUGACGCUGAGGCGCGAAAGCGUGGGGAGCAAACAGGGAUUAGAUACCCUGGUAGUCCACGCCGUAAACGAUGAGUGCUAAGUGUUAGGGGGUUUCCCGCCCCUUAGUGCUGCAGCUAACGCAUUAAGCACUCCGCCUGGGGAGUACGGCCGCAAGGCUG
Molecule: ribosomal RNA, 373 nt
Filed under: uncultured organism
Description: partial 16S ribosomal RNA
Rfam family: Bacterial small subunit ribosomal RNA
Source: RNAcentral